This 422-nucleotide ribosomal RNA is filed under the name uncultured bacterium. RNAcentral describes it as "partial 16S ribosomal RNA". It matches the Rfam family "Bacterial small subunit ribosomal RNA", at positions 360 to 774 of the family's 1533-position model. The record is from RNAcentral.
AAUUUUGGACAAUGGGGGAAACCCUGAUCCAGCCAUCCCGCGUGUAUGAUGAAGGCCUUCGGGUUGUAAAGUACUUUUGGCAGAGAAGAAAAGGUAUCUCCUAAUACGAGAUACUGUGGACGGUAUCUGCAGAAUAAGCACCGGCGAACCACGUUCCAGCAGCCGCGGUAGUACGUAGGGUGCAAGCGUUAAUCGGAAUUACUGGGCGUAAAGCGUGUGUAGGCGGUUCGGAAAGAAAGGUGUGAAAUCCCAGGGCUCAACCUUAGAACUGCAUUUUUAACUGCCGAGCUAGAGUAUGUCAGAGGAGAGUAGAAUUCCACGUGUAGCAGUGAAAUGCGUAGAUAUGUGGAGGAAUACCGAUGGCGAAGGCAGCCCCCUGGGAUAAUACUGACGCUCAGACACGAAAGCGUGGGGAGCGAACA